RNAcentral lists this transfer RNA (81 nucleotides) under Loxodonta africana (African savanna elephant). It matches the Rfam family "tRNA". Rfam says of the family: Transfer RNA (tRNA) molecules are approximately 80 nucleotides in length. Their secondary structure includes four short double-helical elements and three loops (D, anti-codon, and T loops). Further hydrogen bonds mediate the characteristic L-shaped molecular structure. tRNAs have two regions of fundamental functional importance: the anti-codon, which is responsible for specific mRNA codon recognition, and the 3' end, to which the tRNAs corresponding amino acid is attached (by aminoacyl-tRNA synthetases). tRNAs cope with the degeneracy of the genetic code in two manners: having more than one tRNA (with a specific anti-codon) for a particular amino acid; and 'wobble' base-pairing, i.e. permitting non-standard base-pairing at the 3rd anti-codon position. The record is from Rfam by way of RNAcentral. Lineage: Eukaryota; Metazoa; Chordata; Mammalia; Proboscidea; Elephantidae.
GGUAACGUGGCCCAGUGGUCUAAGGCACUGGAUUAAGGCUUCAGUCUCUGUGGGGAUGUGGGUUUGACUCCACCAUUGCCA